UUGGAGGGCAAGUCUGGUGCCAGCAGCCGCGGUAAUUCCAGCUCCAAUAGCGUAUAUUAAAGUUGUUGCAGUUAAAAAGCUCGUAGUUGAACCUCGGGGUCUACCCAUUGGUCAGGCUUAAUUGUCUGCACUGGUGAGAUGGAUCUCUACCUUCUGAGGAACUUUCAUGCCAUUCAUUUGGUGUGAUGGGAAAUCAGGACUGUUACUUUGAAAAAAUUAGAGUGUUUAAAGCAGACUAUCGUCUGAAUACAUUAGCAUGGAAUAAUGAAAUAGGACGGACUGAUUCUAUUUCGUUGGUUUCUAGGAUCACCGUAAUGAUUAAUAGGGAUAGUUGGGGGCAUUAGUAUUCAAUUGUCAGAGGUGAAAUUCUUGGAUUUAUUGAAGACUAACUACUGCGAAAGCAUUUGCCAAGGAUGUUUUCAUUAAUCAAGAACGAAAGUUAGGGGAUCGAAGACGAUCAGAUACCGUCGUAGUUUUAACCAUAAACUAUGCCGACUAGGGAUCGGACGAAGUUAAUUUUAUAAUGACGCGUUCGGCGCCUUACGGGAAAC
This 551-nucleotide ribosomal RNA is filed under the name uncultured Diversisporaceae. Its description in RNAcentral is "SSU rRNA". It matches the Rfam family "Eukaryotic small subunit ribosomal RNA", at positions 548 to 1098 of the family's 1831-position model. Lineage: Eukaryota; Fungi; Glomeromycota; Glomeromycetes; Diversisporales. The record is from RNAcentral.